ACCAUAAAACUCCAGUCAGUGAACUUCGCAGUCUGAAAAACAAGUUAAUAAACUAAAACUUUCAACAACGGAUCUCUUGGUUCUGGCAUCGAUGAAGAACGCAGCGAAAUGCGAUAAGUAAUGUGAAUUGCAGAAUUCAGUGAAUCAUCGAAUCUUUGAACGCACAUUGCGCCCCUUGGUAUUCCGAGGGGCAUGCCUGUUCGAGCGNUCAUUUCAACCCUCAAGCUCUGCUUGGUAUUGGGCCCCGUCCUCCACGGACGCGCCUUAAAGACCUCGGCGGUGGCGUCUUGCCUCAAGCGUAGUAGAAAACACCUCGCUUUGGAGCGCACGGCGUCGCCCGCCGGACGAACCUUUGAAUUAUUUCUCAAGGUUGACCUCGGAUCAGGUAGGGAUACCCGCUGAACUUAAGCAUAUCAAUAAGCGGAGGAAAAG
This 432-nucleotide ribosomal RNA is filed under the name Neofusicoccum parvum. RNAcentral's name for it is "eukaryotic LSU rRNA". The stretch from base 57 to 210 matches the Rfam family "5.8S ribosomal RNA". The record is from RNAcentral. Lineage: Eukaryota; Fungi; Ascomycota; Dothideomycetes; Botryosphaeriales; Botryosphaeriaceae.